CCCUUAGAUGUCCUGGGCCGCACGCGCGCUACACUGAACGGAUCAGCGCGUUUUCCCUUCCCGAGAGGGACGGGUAACCUGCUGAACCCCGUUCGUGGUAGGGAUCGGGGCUUGCAAUUAUUCCCCGUGAACCAGGAAUGCCCAGUAAGUGCAAGUCAUAAGCUUGCGUUGAUUACGUCCCUGCCCUUUGUACACACCGCCCGUCGCACCUACCGAUUGAAUGGUCCGGUGAAGCCUCGGGAUUGCGAAUGCUUCGUGCGGACGCGAGAACUUGGCUAAACCUUACCAUUUAGAGGAAGGUGAAGUCGUAACA
RNAcentral lists this ribosomal RNA (313 nucleotides) under uncultured eukaryote. RNAcentral describes it as "partial 18S ribosomal RNA". It matches the Rfam family "Eukaryotic small subunit ribosomal RNA", at positions 1470 to 1796 of the family's 1831-position model. The record is from RNAcentral.